Molecule: ribosomal RNA, 255 nt
Filed under: uncultured bacterium
Lineage: Bacteria
Description: partial 16S ribosomal RNA
Rfam family: Bacterial small subunit ribosomal RNA
Source: RNAcentral
UACGGGGGGGAGCAAGCGUUGUUCGGAUUUACUGGGCGUAAAGGGCGCGUAGGCGGCCACCGCAAGUCGAUUGUGAAAUCUCCGGGCUUAACCCGGAAAGGUCAACCGAUACUGCGGGGCUAGAGUGCAGAAGGGGCAACUGGAAUUCUCGGUGUAGCGGUGAAAUGCGUAGAUAUCGAGAGGAACACCUGCGGCGAAGGCGGGUUGCUGGGCUGACACUGACGCUGAAGUGCGAAAGCUAGGGGAGCGAACGGG